GUGGUUUGCAAAGAGAGUUCCAGGGCAGCCAGGGCUACACAGAAAAACCCUGCCUCGAAAAACCAAACACCGAACCAAUCAAACAAAAACUACUGCACAGAAGAGAACAUUCUGAGAUUGAAGAGUUCUGCAAAGAGCCUCCUCUCCAAGGGCGUGCAUCUGAAACCCAGCCCAUUACUGAAUUAUAACGAGUGGAAAAGAAAUACUAAGAAGACAGUGGGUAACUCUAGCACCAGAGGACGCUCAGCAAAAGGCUGAGCAAGUGUCACUGUGGCCUGUGCUUUCCUGGCAUCUUGUUUUGAGGAUACAG
Molecule: long non-coding RNA, 310 nt
Filed under: Cricetulus griseus (Chinese hamster)
Lineage: Eukaryota; Metazoa; Chordata; Mammalia; Rodentia; Cricetidae
Description: lncRNA (ENSCGRG00015034617.1)
Source: RNAcentral